Long non-coding RNA from Gallus gallus (chicken), 1202 nucleotides. The record is from Ensembl. Lineage: Eukaryota; Metazoa; Chordata; Aves; Galliformes; Phasianidae.
UAAAAGACAGACUGCAUAUAUUUGACAUAAAUCACAUAAAAACUUGAAAGCAUACAGUGAACUUACACAGCUUGUGAUCCUUUUCCUGAGCACUCAUUACUCUCUAAAUAAUGAGUAACUCUAGGGAGAGGGAGCUUCUUUUAUACAGAGCUCUUGAUAUCCUUUGGGAAAUUAAUCAUCAGAAUCAGCUGGGGGCCAUUUGUAAGCGAGUCAGGUUCAGACUUUGCCUCAGCGUAUGGGGGUACUGUUGGCUUUUGGUGUUCCUGCCUGCUCUGUUCAAGUGCUGUGGGAGUGCACCUACUGACCUACAGAUGUUGUGGGACUGUGUUUUCUGCUCAUCCUCAAGUUCAUCCAAAUGGUACAACAGUUUAGUUGUGUUCAUAAUGAUGAACACAUUCUGCAUUACAACCAAAGAUAUAUCUCAUGCUGUGCUAUAAGAGAUAACAAGAAGCUUGAUGUCACCAAGGGAAUGAAUGGAAAGGUGUUAUGGUAAAAUGGAGGAGAAAUAUUGAACCGGCUUCGUGUGGCAAAGAAAAUAGGAGGAGGAGGACAGCAGAUGUGAGCAUCUCUGAACCAGGAAGUUCUCAAGGCGCAUUUCCAUCUUGAAGAUGUGCCAGGACAGAUAAGAGCACACGACACAACAAGAAAACUUAUUGGAGAGGCAAGAUUGCUUGUUUUUAAUCCCGUGAUAAAACAAAGGUUGCCGUUGCAUUUUGCAUCUGCAGAUCUAGUCCCCAGUACCUUCGUUAGCCCCAGUUUCGAGGUCUGAGUUGCGACGCUUUGUAUUUUCGAUCGGACGCCAAUUUAUUUUUGACCCGUUCUUACUCAUUAUAGCCGAUAGAUGGCAGCAAAUGACCACAGAUCUUCCGUUCCUAUCGUAGCCUGCUCCUCCUCGAUAGCUUUAUGUGGAAUUUUCCUAUUUGAAACCGAAACGGUGCUGAUUCCGCAGUAGCAGAACGCAGUACGAGGCAGCAGACCCGAUUUAACAUGUUAGAGCGUUAAGGCCAGUGAUGGAACUGUCUGUUGCGUUCCUGUUUCCAGCGAUGCCGGUGUGACCCGUUGUUCUGUGCCGAGCUGCACGCUUGUUUCUGCAGCUACCUGAGACAUCUUGGAAAAGCACUUUCUUGAGCGCUGAUCUACUUGCAAUUUCCCUGUAGUCUUUACACCAAAACACGUAAACAACUCAGGUUGUGGUGCUCUAC